This 180-nucleotide non-coding RNA is filed under the name Levilactobacillus senmaizukei. RNAcentral's name for it is "Lactobacillus senmaizukei Lysine sequence". It matches the Rfam family "Lysine riboswitch aptamer". Rfam says of the family: Riboswitches are metabolite binding domains within certain messenger RNAs that serve as precision sensors for their corresponding targets. Allosteric rearrangement of mRNA structure is mediated by ligand binding, and this results in modulation of gene expression. Lineage: Bacteria; Bacillati; Bacillota; Bacilli; Lactobacillales; Lactobacillaceae. The record is from RNAcentral.
UCGAAUAGAAGAGGUGCGGUCAACAUCAGUCGCUUUCCCAAGGUGGGUAUCACCGAGGCGGGAAAGUAAAAGGGGCGAUCGCCGAAACUUGGAAGUGACUACCUAACUUCCAGGUUGGGCCCUGGUUCAACAGAUCAGGGACUGUCGCAGCCAAAUAGGUUGCGGGGCGCUUUCAACGAU